GGGCCGCUAGCUCAGCUGGUAGAGCAGCAGACUUUUAAUCUGUUGGUCAAGGGUUCGAUCCCCUUGCGGCUCACAA
Molecule: transfer RNA, 76 nt
Filed under: Candidatus Falkowbacteria bacterium CG10_big_fil_rev_8_21_14_0_10_39_11
Lineage: Bacteria; Candidatus Falkowiibacteriota
Description: tRNA-Lys
Rfam family: tRNA
About the family: Transfer RNA (tRNA) molecules are approximately 80 nucleotides in length. Their secondary structure includes four short double-helical elements and three loops (D, anti-codon, and T loops).
Source: RNAcentral